CAGUCGCCGCGGGAAUACGUAGGGGGCAAGCGUUAUCCGGAAUAACUGGGCGUAAAGGGUGCGCAGGUGGUUUAACAAGUUAGUGGUGAAAGGCAUAGGCUCAACCAAUGUAAGCCAUUAAAACUGUUUAACUUGAGUGCAGGAGAGGAAAGUGGAAUUCCUAGUGUAGCGGUGAAAUGCGUAGAUAUUAGGAGGAAUACCAGUGGCGAAGGCGACUUUCUGGACUGCAACUGACACUGAGGCACGAAAGCUAGGGGAGCAAAUGGGAUUAGAUACCCGAGUAGUCCCUGUCUCUUAUAAA
Molecule: ribosomal RNA, 301 nt
Filed under: uncultured bacterium
Lineage: Bacteria
Description: partial 16S ribosomal RNA
Rfam family: Bacterial small subunit ribosomal RNA
Source: RNAcentral